RNAcentral lists this long non-coding RNA (257 nucleotides) under Struthio camelus australis. Its description in RNAcentral is "lncRNA (ENSSCUG00000009646.1)". The record is from RNAcentral. Lineage: Eukaryota; Metazoa; Chordata; Aves; Struthioniformes; Struthionidae.
CUUAGGUAAAUCCUACUUUUUUUUUUUUCUGGUCAAAAAAUAAGCUUCAAGAUCAGAACUGAACACAUCAGACUGACUGGAGCAAAACAAUCUCCCAACCCCCACUCAGUUUGAGGGGCUGUGGAUGUCAAGUACCCCUGAAAUCUGCUUACCUCAGUAGGGAUCUGGAGGUAAGCCAGAGGCCUAUUUUUUGCCUUUCCUAUUAUUUUGCUGGAGAUCCUUUCCUUUAAGGUUGUUAAUUUGUUUUGUGACAACCC